RNAcentral lists this ribosomal RNA (433 nucleotides) under uncultured bacterium. RNAcentral describes it as "partial 16S ribosomal RNA". It matches the Rfam family "Bacterial small subunit ribosomal RNA", at positions 29 to 507 of the family's 1533-position model. The record is from RNAcentral.
AACGAACGCUGGCGGCAUGCCUAACACAUGCAAGUCGAACGAGACCUUCGGGUCUAGUGGCGCACGGGUGCGUAACGCGUGGGAACCUGCCCUUAGGUUCGGAAUAACUCCCCGAAAGGGGUGCUAAUACCGGAUAAUGUCUUCGGACCAAAGAUUUAUCGCCUUUGGAUGGGCCCGCGUUGGAUUAGCUAGUUGGUAGGGUAAAAGCCUGCCAAGGCGACGAUCCAUAGCUGGUCUGAGAGGAUGAUCAGCCACACUGGGACUGAGACACGGCCCAGACUCCUACGGGAGGCAGCGGUAGGGAAUAUUGGACAAUGGGCGAAAGCCAGAUCCAGCAAUGCCGCGUGAGUGAUGAAGGCCUUAGGGUUGUAAAGCUCUUUUACCCGGGAUGAGAAUGACAGUACCGGGAGAAUAAGCUCCGGCUAACUCCGUG